UACGGGGGGAGCAAGCGUUGUUCGGAUUUACUGGGCGUAAAGGGCGCGUAGGCGGUCAGCACAAGUCAGUUGUGAAAUCUCCGGGCUUAACUCGGAAAGGUCAACUGAUACUGUGCGACUAGAGUGCAGAAGGGGCAACUGGAAUUCUCGGUGUAGCGGUGAAAUGCGUAGAUAUCGGAAGGAACAUCAGUGGCGAAAGCGACUUCCUGGACCAAUACUGACGCUCAUGUGCGAAAGCUAGGGGAGCGAAUGGG
Molecule: ribosomal RNA, 254 nt
Filed under: uncultured bacterium
Lineage: Bacteria
Description: partial 16S ribosomal RNA
Rfam family: Bacterial small subunit ribosomal RNA
Source: RNAcentral